AAUCAACGCUGGCGGCGUGCCUCAGACAUGCAAGUCGAACGCGAAAGUCCCCCUCGGGGGACAAGUAGAGUGGCGCACGGGUGAGUAACACGUAGGUAAUCUACCUUCGGGUGGGGAAUAACAAUCGGAAACGGUUGCUAAUACCGCAUAAUGCAGCGGCACCUAAUGGUGACAGUUGUUAAAGCGGGGGAUCGCAAGAUCUCGCGCCUGAAGAGGAGCCUGCGGCGGAUUAGCUGGUUGGUAGGGUAAUGGCCUACCAAGGCGACGAUCCGUAGCCGGCCUGAGAGGGCGGUCGGCCACACUGACACUGACAUACGGGUCAGACUCCUACGGGAGGCAGCAGUCGGGAAUUUUUGGGCAAUGGGCGAAAGCCUGACCCAGCAACGCCGCGUGAAGGAUGAAAUCCCUCGGGAUGUAAACUUCGCAAGAACGGGAAAGAAUAAGUUUGUGCUAAUACCACAAGCGAUGA
This 469-nucleotide ribosomal RNA is filed under the name uncultured bacterium. Its description in RNAcentral is "bacterial SSU rRNA". It matches the Rfam family "Bacterial small subunit ribosomal RNA", at positions 32 to 475 of the family's 1533-position model. The record is from RNAcentral.